This 461-nucleotide ribosomal RNA is filed under the name uncultured bacterium. RNAcentral's name for it is "partial 16S ribosomal RNA". It matches the Rfam family "Bacterial small subunit ribosomal RNA", at positions 29 to 507 of the family's 1533-position model. The record is from RNAcentral.
AUGAACGCUGCCAGAAUGCUUAACACAUGCAAGUCUUUGGCGAAGCUGUGCUUGCACAGCCUAGCCAAGGCGGACGGGUGAGUAACGCGUAAGGAACUUGCCCUGCAGUCAGGGAUAACAGACGGAAACGACUGAUAAGACCUGGUAAAGUCAGGCGGACUCAUGUCCAGCCUGAUGAAAAGAGAUGCUGCAGGAGAGCCUUGCGUCCUAUUAGCUUGUUGGUGGGGUAACGGCCCACCAAGGCGAUGAUAGGUAGCCGGCCUGAGAGGGUGGACGGCCACAAGGGGACUGAGAUACGGCCCUUACUCCUACGGGAGGCAGCAGUGGGGAAUAUUGGACAAUGGGGGCAACCCUGAUCCAGCAAUUCUGUGUGCACGAUGAAGGUUUUCGGAUUGUAAAGUGCUUUCAGCAGGGAAGAAAAAAUGACGGUACCUGCAGAAGAAGCGACGGCUAAAUACGUG